This 74-nucleotide transfer RNA is filed under the name Nitrososphaera sp. RNAcentral's name for it is "tRNA-Thr". It matches the Rfam family "tRNA". From Rfam's summary of the family: Transfer RNA (tRNA) molecules are approximately 80 nucleotides in length. Their secondary structure includes four short double-helical elements and three loops (D, anti-codon, and T loops). RNAcentral also lists the same sequence under 2 other names. The record is from RNAcentral. Lineage: Archaea; Thermoproteati; Nitrososphaerota; Nitrososphaeria; Nitrososphaerales; Nitrososphaeraceae.
GCCUUGGUAGCUCAGCCUGGUAGAGCGUUACCUUGGUAAGGUAGAGGUCCGGGGUCCAAAUCCCCGCCAAGGCU